This 416-nucleotide long non-coding RNA is filed under the name Anser cygnoides (Swan goose). RNAcentral's name for it is "lncRNA (ENSACDG00005006786.1)". Lineage: Eukaryota; Metazoa; Chordata; Aves; Anseriformes; Anatidae. The record is from RNAcentral.
GUCAUUGUCAUUGUCACCGUGUCAUUGUCAUCGUCAUCGUGUCAUUGUCAUCGUCAUCGUCAUUGCGUCAUCGUCAUUGUCACCGUGUCAUUGUCACCGUGUCAUUGUCAUCGUCAUCGUCAUUGUCAUCGCGUCAUUGUCAUUGUCAUCGUCAUUGUCACCGUGUCAUUGUCACCGUGUCAUUGUCACCGUCACCGCGUCAAAGUCACCACGAUGUCCCCACCCCUCGGGUCCCCUCUGUGUCCCCAACACCCCCGACGUCCCCGACGUCCCUCAAUGUCCCCAAGACCCCCCAUGUCCUAUGUCCCCAAUGUCCCCAAUGUCCCCAAUGUCCCCAUCCCCAACAUCCUCGAUGUCCCCAACGUCCCCAACGCCCCCCACGUCCCCGAUGUCCCCAAUGUCCCCGAUGUCCCCAA